RNAcentral lists this ribosomal RNA (279 nucleotides) under uncultured bacterium. RNAcentral's name for it is "partial 16S ribosomal RNA". It matches the Rfam family "Bacterial small subunit ribosomal RNA", at positions 506 to 784 of the family's 1533-position model. The record is from RNAcentral.
UGCCAGCCGCCGCGGUAAUACGGAGGGUGCAAGCGUUAAUCGGAAUUACUGGGCGUAAAGCGCGCGUAGGCGGCUUGUUAAGUCAGAUGUGAAAUCCCCGGGCUCAACCUGGGAACUGCAUCUGAUACUGGCAGGCUAGAGUUUGAGAGAGGGAAGUGGAAUUCCAGGUGUAGCGGUGAAAUGCGUAGAUAUCGGAAGGAACAUCAGUGGCGAAGGCGACUGCCAGGCUCGAUACUGACGCUGAGGUGCGAAAGCGUGGGGAGCAAACAGGAUUAGAUA